CGACCCGCUAGCGUACACAUGCAAGUCGAGCGGUAACAGGGGUAGCUUGCUACCCGCUGACGAGCGGCGGACGGGUGAGUAAUGCAUAGGAAUCUGCCCGAUAGUGGGGGAUAACCUGGGGAAACCCAGGCUAAUACCGCAUACGUCCUACGGGAGAAAGGGGGCUCCGGCUCCCGCUAUUGGAUGAGCCUAUGUCGGAUUAGCUAGUUGGUGAGGUAAUGGCUCACCAAGGCAACGAUCCGUAGCUGGUCUGAGAGGAUGAUCAGCCACAUCGGGACUGAGACACGGCCCGAACUCCUACGGGAGGCAGCAGUGGGGAAUAUUGGACAAUGGGCGAAAGCCUGAUCCAGCCAUGCCGCGUGUGUGAAGAAGGCCUUCGGGUUGUAAAGCACUUUCAGCGAGGAAGAACGCCUAGUGGUUAAUACCCAUUAGGAAAGACAUCACUCGCAGAAGAAGCACCGGCUAACUCCGUGCCAGCAGCCGCGGUAAUACGGAGGGUGCAAGCGUUAAUCGGAAUUACUGGGCGUAAAGCGCGCGUAGGUGGCUUGAUAAGCCGGUUGUGAAAGCCCCGGGCUCAACCUGGGAACGGCAUCCGGAACUGUCAAGCUAGAG
This is a ribosomal RNA of 612 nucleotides. It matches the Rfam family "Bacterial small subunit ribosomal RNA", at positions 40 to 646 of the family's 1533-position model.